This 292-nucleotide ribosomal RNA is filed under the name Pseudomonas sp. 2995-3. Its description in RNAcentral is "partial 16S ribosomal RNA". It matches the Rfam family "Bacterial small subunit ribosomal RNA", at positions 1232 to 1522 of the family's 1533-position model. Lineage: Bacteria; Pseudomonadati; Pseudomonadota; Gammaproteobacteria; Pseudomonadales; Pseudomonadaceae. The record is from RNAcentral.
GGAUGGUACAAAGGGCAGCAAAACCGCGAGGUCGAGCGAAUCCCAUAAAGCCAUUCUCAGUUCGGAUUGCAGGCUGCAACUCGCCUGCAUGAAGCCGGAAUUGCUAGUAAUCGCGGAUCAGCAUGCCGCGGUGAAUACGUUCCCGGGCCUUGUACACACCGCCCGUCACACCACGAGAGUUUGUAACACCCGAAGUCGGUGAGGUAACCUUUUAGGAGCCAGCCGCCGAAGGUGGGACAGAUGAUUGGGGUGAAGUCGUAACAAGGUAUCCCUACCGGAAGGUGGGGAUGGA